CACACAUGAAGCUGUGUCAAGAGCCACUGCACAUCCGGGCGCUGUUCCUCAGAUACAGUGUCCAGGUUUGGACCAAACCAGUGGUUUUCAGGCAGAUUUUUGUGAAACCCCAGGAUUCCAAAAAGGGUCGUUAGUGCAGUGCCUGAGGCAUCCUGUGGGUAGAAACAUUUGGCAUCCACCAGCUUCCACCUGGAGCAGCCUGCUCUUACCUGCCGUCAUGGCAGCAAGCCCUGCAAAGCUGUCAUUCAAAUUAACAUGGAGGGACUGAGGCUGUGUUUAGUUGUGCAUUUGCCCAGCAUGUGUGAGACCCUGGGCUCCCUCCCCAGCUCUACAGAAAUACAAAGGUUGAGCUGCUUUUAAAAAAAAAGCCAACAAGCACUGGACAGAUGAACUUCUCUGCCCCAGACUUCUGGUGUGGUCCAGGGAGAUUAAAAGAUGCAAAGAGGACGGGUGGAGGCUUGGCCCUUUCACCAGGGACUGGGGCUCGCUGCUGUGAUCUUGAGGAGUCCUGGGAACUGCGUUCCCACCGUGUCAGCCAGGAGGGGCAGGGCUGUGCCUGGGGACGUGAACUUGAAGCCCAGGGGAGAUGGCCUGUGGUGGCUGGUGAGGUCAGCGGUCGGCAGGAGGCUGGCUUCACAGUUUCCCUGGUAGACUUCCGAUGUCUUUGAUGGCAUGCUUUUAUCAGUAAACGCAAACACAUAUGAGAUCUAAGCCUGCAUCUCCCAAGAGCAUAUAGGUGUAUUCAUGGUAAGUCAUACAUAUUUGUAUCACUGUGCUAAUCCUAUGUAUGGCUUAAAACACACACAGUAGCCAUAUCAAGGAUGAGGACAGUUAAAGCGGUAAAAGGAGCUGCUAGCUAGUGAGUCAUCUUGCAACCCCUGGGGCAGCCGACCCCACUGGAGAAGCGGGGGUGGCCGGGCGCCACGGGCGUCUGGGCCAGGAGCGUGCAGGGAGCGGAGGAGCUGUUGUCUUGCACUGCCUGGGCUGCUGCUGACCCAGCUUUCUCUGAAUUGGCUUUUCCCUUAAAUUUACCCUCACUCAGUGUUAAUAUGCACCAAAGAAUGACUUUCUGUACGGCUAGAAUUUUCUUAAAAUGCCCAUCAAAAACAAAAACAACAACAAAAAAAACUCUGAAACCAUAUAGACAGAAAGUUUGUCCAGAGACCACUUAAAAGUCAUUCUUGGCUCUCAGCGUGUAAUGGGGACCACCCCGUGGGAGCCUCUCAUCUGUGGCAUUGCCUUCAGAUCAAAAGGGCAGGGUAUUCUGGAGAGUGAGCCUCCCAGAGACCAGGCCCCGGGCAGGUGUGUGGCCUGCACGCCCCAGGGGCUGCACGCACAGUCCCACUAACAGUCCAGGAAGAGUGGUGGGGUCAGAUGUCUCCUGGAAGAAAACUGUGUGCACAUCCAUCACAGAUCUGAAUCAGCUGUGGACCGCCCCUGCCGCACGUCACAGCCACAGUGACACGUUGCCCUGCUGACUGCCGAAACUUCCUUGGGCUCCGUCAGUGCAGUCAUCCAUAUGUCCACUCAAGAGAGAGUCACUGUGCACCUGUGCUCUGCCAGCCCCUAGGUUAGGCUCUGGAGAUACGGGAAGAACAGGACAGAUGGGACGGCUUCUCCUGAGAAGCCUCAGUCCGCUGAUAGUGAACAAUGGAAAAACCAGAUAAUAUAAAAUCCAGGUAGUUAUAAAAACUAAGCAAAAUCAAAGUAAAGGUAGAGAGGACAAAUCCCCUGGGUAGAAUAACUGCAAAUAGUUUGUGUGGACACCCAGGGAGGUAGAACACAGCUCCACUCUUUAAGCGUGGUGUGGAAGAGAGGAAAAGGAACUUGGCAGUGGGGACACUGAUGAAGGUUAGCUUGUUAAACGCGCAACAGCAACAUCAGCGUCUUCAGCCAUGUUGCUAGUGUGUCCCUUGGAGACGACGCUGUGAGAAGCACACUUCUCUGUCAUCUUCCUCUCCCCAAACCUCACCUCAGUCAAUUUGUCAGAAAAGCA
Molecule: long non-coding RNA, 1996 nt
Filed under: Marmota monax (woodchuck)
Lineage: Eukaryota; Metazoa; Chordata; Mammalia; Rodentia; Sciuridae
Source: RNAcentral